UUAGACAUUUUCACUCCUGAUAGAAACACCCCUUCGUAUUUCUCCAUUUUCUUUUCUUCAUCCAAUCCCCCUCUGCCCUCUUGCCCGCAUCGCGUGCGCUAGGGUUUCCUGGGGGCCCGCGAAUGUUGCUGGCCGCGGAGUAGGCAGCUCGGCCCUUGGUGGCGCAGUUGCGGCGGCGGCGUCGAGAUCCGGCUAUGAUAGAAGCCCCUGGUGGCGCAGUUGUGGCGGCGGCGUCGAGAUCUGGCUGUGAUAGAAGCCGUGAGCGGUGGUUGGAGCGCGGCGGCGCUAGCGAGGUCCGACCUGCCGCUGGAGCAGGUGAUGCUUGGGAGGGGCCGACCUUCGGUGACCUGUGGCCGGAGCAAGGUGACGCGAGGCUCGGCGGCAAGCGCACAGCUCGGAGCAGCCGGAUCCGAGCGGUCGGCGUCUGAUUCGCCCGACAGUAGUUGCAUCCUUUUAUUCCCCUCAUUUUCCUCUUCCCAUUUUCUCGAUCUCCUCGCCAUUCCCAUUUGUUGUCUCGGGCAAUUUCGAUUCAAAUCUCAAUUUGCGAUGUUUGAUUGUGAUUUGGGAUGGCAGUUGGUGAAGCCUUCCACUCCUGCACACCCAUAUAUGUGCUAUGUCAGGUUGUGUUAGUUCAGCACAUCAGCUGAAUCAGGAAAACGAGAAGAUCAUCAGGCCUGCUGAGCAUGCUAGUCAGUUCAAGGUCUGCCGAUGUGGAGACUGGGGAGGGAGACACAUUUAAAACUGGUGAUAGUCUGCUAACUUGUUGACCUAAUUGCCAGGAGGCCGGAGAGCGGGCCACAGAGCCAGAUGAGGUGUGCGGAGAUGCCCAGCUCCGGCACAUAGAGGCGAACUGCACCCUGCACGCCGUCGACGCCGUGUGCGGCAGCUUAUGGAGGGGAGGGAGGGGAUGAAGACAGGGGAGCAAGCAAAUCAAUGCAAGCUGCCCGCGUGCGCCCAAUUUUCAUUUGACCCAAAUACUAAGCUGGGCCUUGAUGUUGCCUCUGUCUCAUCACAAGCAUUGCAGGUCAUGGUGUGGUCAUAAAGGGAAGCAAAUGUGCAUUCAUCAUUGAUGAAUUGCUUGUGAUGUAUCAUAUCGUAGUCUGCAGAUUAGAGUUAAUUGUUUGCAAGAUCCGAAUUAGUUAUGAUCAUUGCAUUUGCAGGUCAUAUGAUUGUGUCCAAUAUUUGAAAUUGUAAUGGGUAUUAGCUAAGAAAACCAGAUAAGGUUGCUUUUUGCACAGAAAACUAUGAGCAAAAUAGCUUGAAGUAUAGAUAAGACUGCCAGAGAAUCUGUGAGAUGUUGCUUGACCAGAAUUAUGAGCA
Panicum virgatum (switchgrass) is the source of this 1320-nucleotide long non-coding RNA. RefSeq lists it as uncharacterized. The transcript is spliced from 5 exons. Lineage: Eukaryota; Viridiplantae; Streptophyta; Magnoliopsida; Poales; Poaceae. The record is from RefSeq and is a predicted model, not a curated record.